Molecule: RNA transcript, 2856 nt
Organism: Penaeus indicus
Lineage: Eukaryota; Metazoa; Arthropoda; Malacostraca; Decapoda; Penaeidae
Exons: 11
Source: RefSeq, a predicted model, not a curated record
CCCACAGAUGGCGCUCAGUUCGAGUGUCUCUUUCUUAAUGGAGGCCUUUAUUCCCUCCUUUGCCUUCGCUUGAUGCCCAUUUACCCUCGCGGGGGAUAUUUUGAAGUGGUUUCAUCGUCAAGGAUAAAGUUGGCAUCUGUGCUUAUGCUCAGCAUGUCCACACCUGGGAGUUCAUCUGGGAGCCACACAUGUGUUUUCUGCAGCCAGGCAUUUACUUGCAAGACAGACCUCCAGACCCACUUUAGACGACAUGCCAAUGGGGAAAUUGACAUUAAGGGUCGACCAAAAAUGCAACAGAAAGCAGAGGAGAAAUGUACCCUUGAAGAAGAGGAAAAGGUUGAGAAGGAAGAUGUGAUUAGAAAGUCACCAGAUGAAGCUGUUGGAAAGAAGACAGAUGGCUCUGUGUGUGAUGUUUGUGGAGAAGUUUUUCGGACGGUAUCCCUGGCAAUUUCUCACAAGUUCCGCAAGCACCCUGAAUCAGUUAUUAAACACUAUUGUCCUCACUGUGGCAUGAUGUUCCCAAUUAAGAUUAAUCGUGACAAGCACUUGCUGACUCAUACAGGCAUGGCACCCAAGCAGCUUUUCCCAUGCUUAACGUGUGGAGUUGCCUUCUACAACUUCAGAGCCAGGAAGUUCCACAUGGACUCAGCACACAAGGGAGCAAUCCGCAUGGUGAAUCCAAUAAAAACCCCAGCCCCAAGCUUAAAGAUAGUCCUAAACAAUGCUGGUGAAGCACACAGUGUGUACUACUGCCACCUUUGCGGAUGUGAGUAUCAAGUCAAGUACAAUCUACAAAAGCACUUAGCAACUAGGCAUACAGAAGAGGAGAGAGAUGCUGUACCUGAAGAAGUAAUGCAGUGCAAUGUCUGCUCAGCUUUAUUCUACUCCAAGAGAGCAUACGAGGCACACAAUCAUCAUCAUCGUGAGAGUGACCUAUAUGCUACAAAUGAAGAAAUGAGGCAACAAGUUGUCCAGAGAAUUGACCAAGACUUUGACCAAAGGCGAGUACCCACAACAGUCGAGCGUUAUCUCUCUGCAUCUGCAAUAAGCUCCAAUCGUUCAGCCACAUGGCGCAACAUCAGGGCUGCUAAAAGGAAUCAAGAAAUAACACAAACUUCUCCAAUAUGUGAAGCAACCCAGGAGAAGAGUAUACCUCUAGUAGCUACAGAUAAUGAGAAUAGCUUAGUUCAUAAUAAACCAGAUAUCAGUACCAUGAGUAACACAAUGGACACGGAGCCUCCCAAUGUGGUUGAUUGCUUCUUACAGGAGAAUGACUCGUGCUGGGAAUCACAAGGACAGGUUAGCAGAAAAAGACUGAUUGAUGAUGGAGAAGAAGACCAGGAGAUCAGCAGACUUGGAACUGUGAACCCCGAUACAGUAAUGCCAAAUCCUGGAAUGAUACUAGGGCAAAGUAAUGAAGACCUAGAUAGUAAUAAUGAAAAGCCACAGGAGACAAAAGUAAGGGCUGAAAAGACUCAAGAGUUUGGAAGUGAUACUGAGAAGCAGGACCAAUCUGAAAUGGCAGAAGAAAAGGACACAAGUCAAAGUAAAGGAGAUAGUAAUGACAGUGAAGAGAGUGAUGGAGAUCUGGUGGUGGAGAAAAUAGUGGGAAUGCGAAAAGCUACAAAUGGCAGAGAAUUCCUAGUAAGAUGGCAGGGAUUUGAGCCAGCAGACGACACAUGGGAGAGGGAAGAGUUCUUGAGUUGUGGAAAUCUUAUAUCUGAUUUCCUCAAGAAUAGAAAGAAUGCAGCAGUCAGACUAGGAAGAGAAUACAAAUGCACAUGUAGUGAUGAUAAAAUGAGCAUCAACUAUCUGACUUAAACUGUUGGGUCUGGGUGCCUCACAAGCUCAUACAUGGACCAAAUCCCAGGCAUUAAGCUUAUUUGAGUGGUGACUUUCCUGGGGAAAGCCUGACGGGCAGGGGUUAGAGGCACCAAUAGAAUGGUAUGAAGCUCCAAAGCGGAAAAAGCGGAAAGAGCAGAAGGGCAGAGGAGGUAAAACCGAAUAGGCCACAAAAAAGAAAAACGAGGAACAUUCCACACUUUCUCAACCUUGAGAUGUGAUAUUAAUUAUUUGUUAUCUAUUUAUAUUUUAUUUAAUUGCACAUUGUCUGAUAAUGAGCAAGAUUUUCUGCAACCGCCCUGCAGCAUAUAACAUCAUUGAAACUUCUUUUGUGCACUUGAUGAAAUUUUAAGAUUCUUUAUCUUACAAAUUUUAGUGUAGGUAAUAAUUAUUAAGUACCAUGGACUGUAGAUUUUAAACUGGUGCCUGGAUUUAGAACCAGCAUCUCCGUUAGAUUUGCUCUUCUUAAGUAAAGUGGAACAAAGGAGCAUAGUCUGGCAUGCAAAUUACAAAUUUGAGAUUAAACUAUAUUUGUUAGACAAGUCUUAUUAUCUUCAUAACUGAGCAGCAGUCCAUUAAGGCAGUGGCAUUGCUAUUGAAGGACCUGUGCAUUUUAAUUCAGUGCAUCAUUUUCUCAUUCAUAAGGCUGAUGUUGAAAUAAAAGGGGGGUUAAUGAUGUGCAACAUUGAUAGAAAUCUUGCAUUUCUUAUAUUUGAAUAUCUGUAGCAUAAGAAUAUAUAUUGAUGUUCACUGCAGGUAUUGAUAGCUAUGUCACAUGUGCUUCAUAUUCAGUAGUUACAUAUCUCUAUACACUUUUAUUUUUGUAAAAGCAUUCACUGAUACAAAACAGUCUUCCGAGCAAAUAGUUAAUCAAAUUAAGUGUGAUAAACAAAAUUUAUUUAUUAAUGCCUAUUGCAGUGUUGUAGGUGAACCAGCUAUAUAAUGUCUUUGUUAAUGCAUGUAAAUAUUGUAAAAAAUGUAAGAAAUAAGAGAUGUUAUAAAAUUUCUAAAGAA